RNAcentral lists this ribosomal RNA (171 nucleotides) under Mycobacterium scrofulaceum. Its description in RNAcentral is "partial 16S ribosomal RNA". It matches the Rfam family "Bacterial small subunit ribosomal RNA", at positions 60 to 235 of the family's 1533-position model. The record is from RNAcentral. Lineage: Bacteria; Bacillati; Actinomycetota; Actinomycetes; Mycobacteriales; Mycobacteriaceae.
AGUCGAACGGAAAGGCCCUUCGGGGUACUCGAGUGGCGAACGGGUGAGUAACACGUGGGCAAUCUGCCCUGCACACCGGGAUAAGCCUGGGAAACUGGGUCUAAUACCGGAUAGGACCACUUGGCGCAUGCCUUGUGGUGGAAAGCUUUUGCGGUGUGGGAUGGGCCCGCG